AACCUGGUUGAUGCCUGCCAGUAGUCAUAUGCGUUGUGCUCAAAGAUUAAGCCAUGCAUGUCUCAGUAUAAGCUUCUAUAUGGCGAAACUGCGAAUGGCUCAUUAAAACAGUUAUAGUUUAUUUGGUGGUCAACUUCUACAUGGAUAACCGUGGUAAUUCUAGAGCUAAUACAUGCGCCCAAACCCAACUUCUUGGAAGGGUUGUGUUUAUUAGAUACAGAACCAACCCAGGCUCCGCCUGGCCUUGAGGUGAUUCAUAAUAACCGAACGAAUCGCAUGGCUCCGCCGGCGAUAGACCAUUCAAGUUUCUGACCUAUCAGCUAUCGUCGGUAGGGUAUUGGCCUACCGUGGCAAUGACGGGUAACGGAGAAUUAGGGUUCGAUUCCGGAGAGGGAGCCUGAGAAACGGCUACCACAUCUAAGGAAGGCAGCAGGCGCGCAAAUUACCCAAUCCUGACGCAGGGAGGUAGUGACAAGAAAUAACAGUACAGGGCAUAUCUGUCUUGUAAUUGGAAUGAGUAAACUUUAAAUCACUUUGCGAGUAUCAAUUGGAGGGCAAGUCUGGUGCCAGCAGCCGCGGUAAUUCCAGCUCCAAUAGC
Molecule: ribosomal RNA, 598 nt
Filed under: uncultured marine eukaryote
Lineage: Eukaryota
Description: SSU rRNA
Rfam family: Eukaryotic small subunit ribosomal RNA
Source: RNAcentral